GAUGAACGCUGGCGGCGUGCCUAAUACAUGCAAGUCGAGCGAACGGACGAGAAGCUUGCUUCUCUGAUGUUAGCGGCGGACGGGUGAGUAACACGUGGAUAACCUACCUAUAAGACUGGGAUAACUUCGGGAAACCGGAGCUAAUACCGGAUGAUAUUUUGAACCGCAUGGUUCAAAAGUGAAAGACGGUCUCGCUGUCACUUAUAGAUGGAUCCGCGCUGCAUUAGCUAGUUGGUAAGGUAACGGCUUACCAAGGAAACGAUGCAUAGCCGACCUGAGAGGGUGAUCGGCCACACUGGAACUGAGACACGGUCCAGACUCCUACGGGAGGCAGCAGUAGGGAAUCUUCCGCAAUGGGCGAAAGCCUGACGGAGCAACGCCGCGUGAGUGAUGAAGGUCUUCGGAUCGUAAAACUCUGUUAUUAGGGAAGAACAUAUGUGUAAGUAACUGUGCACAUCUUGACGGUACCUAAUCAGAAAGCCACGGCUAACUACGUG
RNAcentral lists this ribosomal RNA (497 nucleotides) under uncultured bacterium. RNAcentral's name for it is "partial 16S ribosomal RNA". It matches the Rfam family "Bacterial small subunit ribosomal RNA", at positions 28 to 507 of the family's 1533-position model. The record is from RNAcentral.